UGAGGGAGGGGGGGUGUUUUGCACGAGGGUUCGCGUGGUGGACUGCAAGCAGGGCUGCGCGGUGGGUGCUACCCGCCCAGUUUCAUGGCGGGAGGUUGCCCCGAGUUUUUGUUGUGUGGGCUACUGCGGAGAAGUUUUUGCGUGGGGGAUUUUGCAUGCCUGGUUCCACGGGGCAAGGGGUGUUGCUCCAUGCUCUAGUUAAAACCUGGAUGGCAACAGGGUCAGCUCUGGGCCUUGGGCUGUCCCUGCCCUGUUUGUGUCUCCCCACCAAUGGCUGCACAGGCCUUGCGGUUAAAAUUGCAAAAAAAAAAAAAAAAAACAAAAACAAAAAGCCACAAAUAAAAGGUGUAAAAACACCCCGAAUAGGGAAACGUGCAGGGAACGAUGAAACGCCAAAGCAAAACCUGUUGGGUCUGGCCAAAUCUCAGUCUGGGCUGCCCACAGCCCCCCGUGGCAGAAGGAGAGGCCGUUGUUUCUGUUAAUUUGCAUUAUUUUUUGUUAAUAUGCACGAGGGCAGCUUUGCAAACGUACAGGGUGUGUAGGGGAAGGUAGGUGAAUGAGCAAACAGCUGUGUAAUAGCAUAAUUCUUCAAUUUUGAGGCACCUCUGUGUGGAUAUACGUGGGUUCUAUACUUCUGGAAACAUGGGAAACUUCCUUGGUGCUUAAAUAAUAUUUCUAUAUUUAAAAUACAGAAUUCAGCGGCCGCAGACCGUGCCCAUAAGUCACCAAUAUCCUUAAUGUUCAGUCCAGGCUUUGCCAGGCUGGAAGUUUUAGUCCCUCCUAGACAAGUAAUUCCAAAUAUUUAUAUGUUAAUUCUUUUAACUUGGAGACACAAAUAGCCGGAGAUGUCCUGGCAACUCAGUGGCAGAACAAAAAAAAAAAAAAAAAAAAAAAUCAACAUGGGAAUCUGCUGGUCUAUUCUGCUUUGUGUAAACUGAGCAGAGAAAAUAUUUCCUGUUUCAGGCUCAAAUAGUGAGAGUUCAGCCAGUCUGUUUCUCUGGUUAUUUGAGAAGGGGUUAAAAAUGGGGUCAAAAAGACUGACUCUUGCCAAUUCCGUGCCGUAUUUGGUCUGGAAGGUAUUUUAUUUUAGGGGGUCUUGAAUACAAAGUCACCCAUGGCUGUAGGAAAAAUGAGGGGUGGUUUUGUUGGGGGGGGGGAACCUGGGGCAGAGCUGCUUGUGGCACCAAGGGCAGAGCAUCGCUUUGGUCCAAAACUGAAAUUGCUUUGUGAUUCCUGACAUUGCUUAAAAAUAGACAUUUGGAAAUAAAAGUUUGUGGGGGGGGAGCUGAGGCAGGAUUUGAUACCGGCAAUAUUCUGCCAGUGCAGAAUUGUACUUGGCGCGUGCCUCGCCUAUAUUGCGGGGUUUAAACCAAGUCUACAAUUCUCCUGAAUCGGUGUUACCCACAUUUGUUUUAGAAUUUGGUGUCUGCUUCUGGACAGCAGCAGGAAAAAAAAGAGUUUCAGGGUUGAACCUACAAAGUAUCUCUAACGUUGCUGAUUAGCCAGAAAAAAAAUCUGUGUAUUUGGUCGGAUGAUGCAGCGAGUCUGUGUCCUCGGGCGCUGGGCUCACGCCUCGUCCCGUGCCUGUUUGCCGUGAGAGUCCUGGUCCGAGCGGCGUGUCGUGAAGGCAAUGGAAGAAAAAUGGCAGAGUUAAGGAAUAAAAGCAGAAUUAUGCCUUUUUUUUUUUUUUUUUUUCAGAUCCAGUUGCUCUGUGUGAUGCUGAUGGAAAUGUGCUCUCGGCGCUGUCGCUCUUGCUGGGGCUUUAAGAUCUGACAUAAGGCCUCUGAAAAGGGGGUUGCAAACCCUGGAGCCGGUUACCUCCUCGCUGGCCCUGUGGAGGGCGGCUUCGAGCUGCUCUUCCGUAGUCGUGUGCGUUUUCGUGCGCGCCGCUGGUGGGUUUGGGGGGUGAAACCAGACCACUGUGGUGGCUUCUCUACGAGCGCUCGGCAAAAAUCAGGAUCGUCAACACCCAGAGCGAGAAACAAGCCCUUAAGGCCAUCCCAGACCCUUUUAUUUUUUGGCAUCCAUCAGGUCGCCGGGGGGCUGGAUGCCCUUUCUGAGGCUGGACCGUGUUAAAUGCAUCCAAAAAAAGGUGGUUGCCCUCCCCUGCGGGCUAGCAGGGGGAGAGCAGAGUUGCCUCGACGCCUGCUCCAGGUCUUGCCCCCUCCCCGGCUCUCGCAAAGCCCCCGUGGGCUGCAGCUCCCCUGGGAUUUGCACCCGGAUCCUGGGAAUCGCGCUAAGACCGGGCGCAGCACAAUUUAUUUCGCGGAGCGUUUGAUAAGGUGCUGCUGGAAAACACCAGAGACCUUGAGGGACCUUCUGCUUGCUUCUCGCCUGAAGAUAACUGGGAAAGGUUUUCAAAAGCGGAGGGAAAUCCGCUUUGUGUUAAAGCAGCUUAUCCCCUGGAGGUUUGCUGGGCGGCCGCUUGCAGAGCUGAGGGUCGGGCGGGCAUUGCACGAGCAGUAAGAAAAAAAAAAAAAAAAGGGUAAAUCUGGGAAAGCAACUUGGGAAAGCGUCCGGACGCAGUGCAGGGAGGAUGGCUUCACCCCCGGCUUCGGAUGCGGACUGAGGAAAAGCUCCCGGGUUUACCGUCGAAAGGACCCCGGGAUUGCAAAUCUCAACGCUGUGUGUUCAGACAUUAUUUUCCAGAGCUCUUCUAGGCAAAGCUCAGCAUUUUUUCUCAACUUUUAUAGCAGCGAGGAGCCAGGAGGUGGCACUGGCUGGCAGCACGUUCAGACCUCGCUCCCUUCAGCAGCUCCUGGCCCUGUUUCGGAGCCUUUUGGCUUCCCUAGAAAAUAAACUAUCUCUACUUUCCAAGGUUGGGAGCCUGGAUAACCCCGCAAGCCGGGGUGUGAGGUGGCAGGGACUGGUCGGUGACGGCACCGUCCGCGGCACCGCUGCUCUGUGGGUGUCGAGGAGAUGGGUGGGUUUGGGCUGUACGUGCUCCGGCAGACCGGGGAAUGUCUCCCGGGGGCUCUGGAGGUGUGCCCGGGGGAGUUUGGAGCUCUGCAGCCCCGGGGGUUGUGCGGCCGCGACCACCAUGAGCUCUGCCUGUUGGGUUGACUCAACCUCCGUUGACUUGCAGGAGCUCCAAGACUACGUGAGUGCACCUGGAUCAGGUUUGAUGCUCUUCCUUCCCCAUAACUCUUCCAAAGAAAAGCAGUGUAGACACACAGAGUGUGGGAUUGCAUAUUUUUCCCCGGUUGGGCCAAGAGGAGCCUUCUAAACUCCCAACUUCUUGACCAAAAAAACCCUCUUUCUGGCACAGUCUCUUCUCCCUGGGGAGCUGGUGGGGGUUGUAUUGGUUGGAGGGGCUGGUUUUUGUCCAACUUCUCAUUGCACUUCAGAUUUUGCUGGUGUUUCUAGAAAACCAAUAGUAUUAAGAGCAAUUCUGAAAAAAAAAAAAAAGCCUAAGUGGAAAAGUUCUGCCUGCAAUUCCUAGGUAGCUAUUAGCUUGUGUUUUAUGGGUUUAGAUGCUUAAACAGGUUCUUUUGAUGGGACGGUCACUGUACAAGUUUCUUGCAUUUGUUAUCCCUGUUCCUCUGGUUGAUGAUGUGGAGGGUUUGUCCCAAAACAGCCUCAUUUAAGGUGGUGGCUUGGGAAGAUGGGACAUGGCAAAAUCUGCAUCCAGUCCCCA
Molecule: long non-coding RNA, 3637 nt
Organism: Tyto alba (common barn owl)
Lineage: Eukaryota; Metazoa; Chordata; Aves; Strigiformes; Tytonidae
Exons: 3
Source: RefSeq, a predicted model, not a curated record